Long non-coding RNA from Numida meleagris (helmeted guineafowl), 16827 nucleotides. RefSeq lists it as uncharacterized. The transcript has 3 exons. NCBI's taxonomy places the organism in Eukaryota, Metazoa, Chordata, Aves, Galliformes, Numididae. The record is from RefSeq and is a predicted model, not a curated record.
CCAUCAGUCAGCACCAGUUGCCUUUAGCAACCAACAACAAAUCUGCCCACACUGGCCACAGAGAUUGAGACUACGUGCUUAUUACUGCAUUGAUGUUCAGCUGAGGAGUCCUGGCAUCUGGAAGACUUCACCUAUAGGAACUUCCAGAGAGCACGUAAGUCAUGUCUUCAGGGAAACUAAGAGAGAGCAGUGAAUGCCAGGGUGUGAGAGAAACAUCCUCCAGCUUGGUUGCACCCAGUCACUGCUGCUUCCACCAGGAAGAUACGCUAGGCCAGUUUGGAAAACAGUGCCCAAGGGAUUCCUCUUCUGAGACAUCUGUCUCACUAGAGGGGGAAGGGCACACUAAAGAUGCCAUGGGAGAGCUUCUCGUGUAGCCCUCAGCAAGGUUUCUUCUGGUUGAAUAUUUGCAGGAGUGGAACUGUCACAGCCUGCCUUUAAAUAGUCUGAAUUAAUUGGCAUAUUUUAAUCUAUUUACUUAUUAUUAUUGCUGACUUGUAACAUAAAACCUUAAUCACUCUGAAAGAGAUAUAUAUAUUUAUAUAUAUACGAGUUAAAUAUGUGUGUGAGUGUUUGAUAUAUGUAUAGUCGUAUUGAGAAACUAUCUGACUCUCAAUACCUGUGUCAGGUGGUCCUUAAUGUGCAUGCAGUACUCUCCAGUCACACCAAGGAACAUCUGCCCCUUCACACUGCACUGCAGUGAAACAGCACAGGCUGCAAGGCUACAGAGCCCAGCAAUGCACACAGAAUUACAUUCAUCUGUGAGCCUUUAUCUGUGGACCCAUUAUCUGUCUCCCACUGAGAGGGCCUAGAAAAAGUCAGCAGUCUCAGUGGCUGCUGUCAGCAGAGGGAUUAUGGAUUCUGACCCUCCCAACCCCAGAUGUUUUCCUAGGCCAGUGCCAUGUGGGUCUCAGCAGCUGCCCCUGAGCUAACACCUUUGCCUUUGGGACCAGGAGGCAGAGAAGGGAAAACAUGGACACACUUCAAAGUCAGCUCAGGUUUCAAGGGGCAAGAAGCUGAAGAGGAUGAUUUCUGCUCAUUCCUUUCUUCCCCUGAGCAUCAGAAAGAGCCUGUUGUGGCGGUGGAGGGAGGCAGAACUAUUGUUACACCGCUCCCGGCAUCUCUAUUCAGUACAACUCAUCCUGCCUUUGGGGAAGUUCAGCAAUUUCAACACUGUCUUUGGGAUUUUCCAGAGGUUACAAUCCACCAGUUAGUAAUUCAGCCUGUUCUCUGAGUGCUCUUUUGAAAGAAUCAUGGCAUUUUCAAAGAAGUCAGAGGUCAUCGCUGGCUUGGCUUGACAUUUACACUUGUUUUUAUCAAGAGAUAGAGGAAUGGCAUUCAUUGCUGGUAUACCCAAAAACAGUAGAAUUUUUUUCCCCUCAAGGGUUUAGAGCUCAUUCUCACACUUGUUCACGAUCCAAAAAUAAUCCUCUCAUUAGUUCUUUAGCAAAAUCACAUUGCAGUAUCCUGCACCUUGUUAUUGACAUUCUUAGCAAUAUAUAAACUGCUGCAGAAUAACUGCCUGACCACUUCUGCCAGGAAGGAAAAUGCCGGAGGAUACAUUCAUUCCAUCGACAGAGGAAUUAAUUUUUAACUUUUUUCUCCUUUUUACCUCGCUGAAAGAUACAGGAAUGACCGAAGCCAGAGGAACUGAACAGAUCAUGUUAUGUGAGGAUCUGGCUAACCAUUUGGUAGGUCUGUGCACCAGCGUCUCUCCUGAACAUAGCAGGUGCUGCAGAGACAAAGGUGGAAGCAAAAAAGCCUAAAAGAAAAAUACCCAGAUUUACUUUAUUUGGGCUUCCUGGUGAUAAGAUGGAGAAUUUUUAUUGCUAUUUAAUUUCACCAACAAGUUUAUACAGCAGGUUACCCAGCAAAUAGAGGGAGAAAUGUUAAAUAAUGUUUAAUUAUUAAUUAAAACUAGGUGAACAUUAUGAGAUCCAUCAAGAUCAGAAUCUCACUGUGCUGAGCCAGGUAAGAAGUUAUUCCCUGCCCUGAAGAGCUUAAAAACUGAAGAGACCAGUGAAUCACUGAAGUUGGGCACAGACUUCUUUUCACUGAGAAACUAGAGCUGCAGUAACCCUGCGUCCUUCUCCACAAGACUGACCCUUUUUCCAGAGAUUCUUUUAAUAAUAGGACAAACUUAGCUUACUAGCAGUGCUGUACACACAAUCUAUUCCUUGGCAAGUGCAUUCCUUAACAUGCCAAUUAAAAUAAUUCAGUUGCCUUUGUCCCCCUCACUUUAUUUAGAGAACUCAAAGUACAUCAGCAUACAUGCUGUAAUAACAGAUAAGGGUAUGAAGAUAUAACCAAUCCUCAUUUGUAUUAUGCUGGGUACAUCAAAAAGCUACUUUUCCAUAAUCUGCUUAUUCCCAUUGUAAUCGUUAUACAAGAACUCUGAAAAUCUCGCUGGAGCAUAAAGAUAGAAAAGAGUCAGAGAGGGAGGGGAAAAGGGAAGCAUAUUUAAUAACUGAGGAAAAUCUUAUUUGAGAAAGGCUAAUUUAUGAGUACAUGAAGCAUCAUAUGGUUCUAUAUAAAGGCUCCAAGUAUGGCUGGGAUGGAGAAAAACAGUUGGGUCUACCAGCUCUAGAUCACACAUCUAGCAGCUAGACCUGGAUCAAUAGGUACUGUGGUUCCAGGGAAACCUUGAGCCUAUGACUGAGAGACUUUUUGAGGCAAAAGGUGCACAAGAAAGUAGGCAGAGCUAAAGGAGCUCUAACUUCUACACAAUUCAGCAAAUAUGAAAUUCCCACUUGGUUCCCUUGCUAUUAAGAACUUCUCUGUUUCUAGCGGAAGUAAACAAAGCUUUGCUUCAUGUGGGGAAACCUUUUCCCCGUGAUAUAACCUAUCCAUAGGGAUAAAGCCGUGGGCAUGCCUUGGAAACUUGGAAAAUUCAGUUAUCUCAGCUCUUCUUUUACCAUAUAUUUGAGUGAAAAAGGAAGAGGAACCCACAGAUCUCUGUAAAUUGAAGCUGUCAUCUUUUGGACAGUUCCAUGUCAGUGCUACUUUCUCCCACAUUUCUACAUGCCAGACAGAGGUUCCUAGGUAGGUUCCAUUAGCCCUCUGAGUGCCAGUGUGCUAGAUAAAUAUCUUAUGUACAAAAAGAUUCUGUACUUAAAGGGAACUGUAGAUACUUACCUGUGUCUUGCAUUCAACUAGGUUUAAACAUGUUUUGAAAUAGUUUCAAUUUAUUUUGAGGUUCCCAGACUAUUUUCUGUUAUUUUUGGAAUAAAUAUGCAUUAAUAUACAUUUGUGCUGGUCUGCACACUUGCAGAGUCCAGUGCAUUAAGGAGAUGCUGAAUGCACUGCUCACGGAUUGCAUAGGGAAUUUGUGUGUACAGUAAUUCUGAUGCAAUUAACAUGUGUAGGAGCCACUAGGGUUAAAUCAUAGGUUGUAUCUGUUUGUGCACUGUGUCCAUCUAUGUAGUGUAUUCAAGUGUCAGACUGUCUGGACAGAAAUGCUAUUCUGACUCAGUUGCCAGAGACAUACAAAGAUCCUAGAAGUAUGUCUGAAGCCCCCUUGUAAUCUUCAAGAUAAAACUUUUUCUUGCUAGAAAUCUGGCCACAUCCAGAACAUGCAGGUAUAUAUAUGGUAGUCCUGCCCAAAUCAAAUCCUUAGUUCCCAUGGUAGGAAACCAGUGCAAAUAAAAGGGAUCAGGUUAACAUGCAUCUGUGUGCACGGACAUACACAAUACAAUUAAAAGCUCAGCUCCAUUCCUAGCUCACUGCUUUUGCUCUGGGUAGUAGUAAAUCCUCACCCAGCAGGGUUGCAAGAAUGAAAACCAGCCACAAGAGACAAAGAGGCACAGAAGUGAUUGAAGCCAGCCUAGGCAGAAGCAAGUUCUGGGAAGCGUGAUGCUCCUGGGCAGGCUUGGGGCCAGCAUGGCCCCCGCUGCCCUGACUGAUCCUGUAGCAGAUCCCUGAGGGCAAUGCUGAUGUUGUUUUUCUUCCCCCUCCUUGCAAGGGUUUGCAAAUAAAGGCCAUGCAAUGAAGGCGGCCUCUUCUUUAUUUAUUUCUUUCUUUCUGUAGUCUGUCUGAAAGAAGAACACGAUUUCUUCAUCUUUGUAAUUCAGAAGUAUUUGAAUAUUUGUUCUUCAGGCUGUGAAAUGACCAUAAAUAGUUUUCCACAAGAAUUUGCUUCUUGGACUGUGGUAUUUACUAGAGACAAGUCAGAUAAAAUACCUUAGGCUAAACUGCAGCUUUUUGGUCUCUGUUCAUAGGAGAAAGGAGGCUGGGAGUUCCUGGGGGAACUCUCCCACCAGAAAGCACAUCUCAAGCUUUCCACACUGCUUCCUCAUCAAAUCAUCAGCAAGAGAGGGAAUGCCUUGAAUGCUCUGCAACAUGGAAGCCUGUACCCUAGGAAAGCUGAUAGCUUGGUAGUGCCCUCGAUGCAGGGAAGGCCCAAAUCUUUAGGUCUGCAUUCACUGUAGAUGAACUUAUGUACCAACAAAAAGUUUCUGUGGUGGAUAAUUAUGGACAAGUCUCAGUGAUUUAGGAGCAUGCGUGCUUAUGGAACUCAGCAAACUCUGAAUAAAUGCAUAAAGAAAUUGCGGUCACUGCUUCAAGUGUCUCUAUUUACAGACACCUAAAAAUAGCAGUGACUACAACAAGGUACUUCAAGUUAAUGCAGUGUCCUGAGUUGUCAUGCACACAUGAUGGUUAAAACAGCUCUCAGCUCUUAAAGUCAGUGCUCACAGAUUUCUUUAGAACAUUUUAAAGUUAAUAACAUUCUUUAUCCUCAAAGCAGGCCUACUUAACUGUGAGUUGAUUUUGCUGUACAGUCAUAUUGACACCUACAUUUAGUUAACACUUCUUUAUCCAGCCCCACCAGUGAGACCUGUAGAGUGGCAACACUCCUUGAUUACUGACAUGACUGACUGAGCUUUAAUGUAGCCUAAGUGUCACCACCUUUCACAUCAAGACAGGCACAAGUCCCAGUAUCAAUCAAAAUGUCUCUGAGUGGAGUUUCCCAUAUACUUUAUUAGCUUAAAACAUUACAGUGAACAUAGCCCCCUGUACAGAAUGGUUCUUAAGGAGGCAGAGCAGCCCAAGAGUCAGUUCAUCAGAGUGACAUUUUUUCUACUUGGAGAAAAUAUAUGAUAGUGAUUACCAGUGGAAUUGUCUAUUGCUUAUUUAAAAUAAUCUCAUUCUGCCUUUCUGUCCCAUUCAAGAACUUUCUAAAAUUCUUGUACUACAAAAGGCGGACUGACGUGGGAUCCAGAAUGUUCCUAUUUUUAUUUUUUUUAGCUAUGCUUGCCAAUGUUUGAAGUGCAUUGACAUGAACCAGAAACAGCUGGAGCUUCAGUCAGCAAAAUGAGAAGGAUAGGUGGUGCAUAAUCAUUGAAUUAAGAAGCUUCACUGCUGCCCAGAAUCACUGAUUGGAUAUUAUCUAAUGGCAGAAGAAGAGAUAUUGUUAACAUCUGAUGGUUUCAAAUUCAAGUAUUUUUAGGAGAUGCAUCAAUUGAAGCAGUGAUUAGACAAAAGUGGACCAAAACCAUCAGCUGAUUGGUUUUAAACAUUACAAUCUCAUUUAAAAAUGAAUAAAAAAAGUCUGUAACUUUACUCAGCUGUAAUUUCUGUCUGCUCAAAUAUUGUGAACUUGUUCUGUUUUGCAAACAUCAAAGGGAACAGAGUUCUGUAAAAUGACCAACACUCUUUUCUCCUCCACAUGAAUAAUUCCUGUAGCUGAUUUCUACUGGGAAAGAGAAAUACCUUUUAUUUCUGUUGUGUACCCAGACACAAUUUAGAGCAAUUAACCGCAUUUAGGAUACUUCAGAUUAUUGUCAGUUCUUCCGACAGUUCAAGGAAAGUGGCUCCACAAGAUCUGUUUUGAAAGAGAUAUUAUGAAUAUGUCCAAAACAGUGUACACAGCUGGGUUGAAGUGCUUCAUUUCCAGUGUCUUUGUUUUGGUAGGAAAUUAUGAUUGAGUCUGACGCUUGUACACAUUCGUCAAAACGGGUAUUUUCUGGACUGCCUAUUCAAACAGUGCAUCUGACACUCUUUCCAGUUAGCAUCCCCAAGGCUUACAGCAGAUGAUUGUCUGAUGGGCUCUCAUCUCCACUGUUACUGGGAAAGUCCAUUUGGAAAUAAUGGCUUAAAAAUAAAAUAAAAUAAAAUAAAAUAAAAUAAAAUAAAAUAAAAUAAAAUAAAAUAAAAUAAAAGCAGAGGCAACAUUAUCAGAAUCAUUUACCACAGGUGAUCCAAAUGAAAUCCCUGGAGGAAGGAUUAUCCAACCUCCACAUCCAUUGCAACUAUGAAAUAAAAAGCUAUGAAAUAAAAGUGUUAGUGCUCUGGAGAUCCUUUCAUCAUCUCUCCAUCCCAACACAGUAAACAGGUUCUCAGUGCUUCUGAAUGUCUGAACAUGCAGACUCUGUAUGUUCUUAAUGUUGUGCAGUCAUAGCCAUUGCUAUGAUUUCUUCAGUAUGGCAACUUUUCUGUGUUGGAGUAGGAAAGCAGAUUGAAACAUAACUAUGUCUGUCUGCUUUUCAUGGUCUAUUAAGACAUUAAGUCCUGUGUUUCCCUCUCUUUUCAGAGCCAUCACUGUGCCUGAUACUGAAGCUAGCAGUGACUGUAUUUAAACAAGGAUUUAAUAAAUAGAGGUCUAGCAUGGUUUCCUUAACCAUCAUGGAUAAGAGGUUUCACGUCCCAGCAGCUCUCCGUUUUACUUAACGUAUGAGUCAGGGGCUCAAACAAAAUAGUGAUUUAACCUUGACACAGAUCAGUUUUAUUUUGUCUGUGUAAGUGGGAGCAAAAUGCUUCAGCAUGGGACUUUAAUGAUUUAGUUGAUUACUGUUGUCAUUUUUUCACAGAACUAAAAUAAGGUUAGAGGAAAGAAAAAGAUUUUUUUUCCCCCUUGGACUUCAUUGUAAAGCUUUGAGUUUUCAUUGCCAGAAAUGAAAACAGAAAAAAAAAAAAAAAAAAAAGGCUUGUAUGAUUUUUAUUACAAACAGCCAAAUAGGAAUUUUCUUUCAAACAGUAUCCAUUCUACCCAAGGCUUCUUUUUGGCUUCAUAAGCUUUCAGUCAGCUCUAAUUCUUAUCCUUGUCAUAUAGUUAAGGAAUCCAAGCCUCAGCCAAGUGAAGUGAUUUGCCCCAGGUGCCCCAGUAGGCUGGUGGCAGAGCCCAGAAGAGUCCAGUUCCCUGACAUCCAUUCUCAUGCUGGAGCCUGUUCUCCAUUCACACCCCUCCACAAGAAGAAAGACAUUUAUCAGCGCUCCCAAAGAAGCUCCAAUAUUGGAAUCUUUAUUCUCAGAGUAGAGAACAGGCCCGAUAACAGUGUAUCUGCUGAUAAAUGCUGACAGUAUUUUGAGUUAAAUAUCCUCUGGAAAGAUUCUGCUGCAGACAGAGACACCUGCAACGGUAAGGAAUAUUAUUUAGCAUCAUAUCUUUCUCCAGCUACUGAUUACUGAGCACUUCCUUUAAGAAAUGAUAAAAAGGAGAGAAAAUGUAAAUGAUGGCAUGGAAGCCAACACAUUCCCCUGCCAGAUAAAAUGGCACUUAGCAAUCAGAGUAAGUCUUAGCUACACUAACAGCACUGGACAUUUAAAGCAGUGAUUGGGCUAAAUUUGAACACAUCAUUCUUCAGGAUCUAUGUAAAUAUUAUCGAUAUUUUGUAUAUAUUUCUCCUUUGAGGGCAUCAGAAAGGAUAAAUUUUCAUGCUGUCUGCUGCUUCUUUACUAACUGCUCUAGAUUUUCCAAAAAACUGUAUUUUGUUCUUUGAGAUGAUUUAUUACUGUGGCUUCCUCAGUCUUAUUUGAAUAGGGAUUUAAAUAAUUGUAUUUCCAGUGUUCUCUUCCUAUUAUGUGCAAGAAGCUUUUAUAGGAGAUGGGGGCUGAUACAGCCAGAAAAGAAUGCAUUUUGAAUGUGAUAAUCUCCAAUUUAGCUAAUAGUGCUAAUUAACUAGGAUUAUAUUUUUUGGCUUGUCACUGGUUAGUGAAUGAAUCCCGGGAAAGAUGAGUGCUUCAAUAAAAUGAGACAGUAGUUCUUAAUGUAUAUGUUUUUAGCGUUUCUUGUCAAGAAGCUGCAUCAGCCCCUUACUGUAUACAGUACAUGAGGGUAAUAUAUAUUUUUAAUGUUUUUGCUUCAGGAAUAUUGACUGAAGACUUUUCUUUCUCUUUGACUGACCAGUAUGUAUUUUUUUUCCCUCCAGAUUACAAAGCUUGUUACUUCCAUGUCUUCAUGGUUUACUGAAGAACUAAGCCAAGUAAAGCUUCAAGUCUUUGAAUCAUGUUCAAAUGUUAUGUAUGAAUUUCAUUAACAGUUGCAAGGAUAAGUUUAACUUGGCGUCGAUCGGGUUAGUGGGAAACUAUGUACAAUAGCAGAAAAUGUAUUGCAGGGAUCAGCAUGAGUAUAUGGGCUUGUUCUCUUUUCCUUUAGAAAAUGUCUUUGAAGGUAUUCCCAAACUUUCUCAUCUUUCUGUGCUUUCUGAGCAUGUUUAAAGUGUCUGGAGAAAGGAAGAAAGGAAGGUAUCAACCUAGUAAUCAUGGAGGUGUAUUGAGAGACUGUAAUCCAGACCCUGUCUGUAAUCCAUCUGUAAUUCGUCCUCCCUGCACUCCCUGGCAAUAUGCUAUUGAAUUAUCACAUUCAAUGUACACAGUGCGUAUAAUAACAAAUAAUGAGGUUUCAUGCGGAAUUCAUAAACUAUCACAGAGAUGCCUCCAGGUUGUUUCCAGUAUGAAGAUAAAUUAUGUUAGCUAAUGUUAUGUAGUGUGAUCGUACAUCACAGGCCUUCCCCAUAGACCAUAUUGCCCAGCUCUACUUAGUUUUCUUUAAAAAUAGAUGCUAUGGAUUUAUAUUCCUGUAGCAUAACGGAUGCUUCUGCUCGGGCCUUGUAAAUGCAAGAGCUGGAAAUGAACUGUGGUGUAAGAGAUACAGAAUCAUAGAAUUGUUUGAGCUGGAAAGGAUCCUUAAAGCUAACUACACUGAUACGUGGAAAUGGCAUGAAAGUGAGAUUUGAGAAAAACUGAGAUACAAAUGGAUUUAUACUAUCUCACUAACCAGCUAGCCCAAAUACAAUACAGCUUCAAAAGUGCCUUUAAUUUGUACAGGGCCUACCACUGUGACAAAGACUUUUAGAUUAGAAUACCAGGAAAGCCUUGGUGAGAAUAUGUUUGGGGCUUUUUUUAAAUGUUUUUUUUUUUUCCUUUUUCUUUUAUUCAUUUUCUCUUUUUCUUUUUUUUUCCUUUUUCUUUUUUCAUUUUCUCUUUACAUUUAAUGAUGAUAGAUUAUGUGGUCAAUUUGAUCACCUCUUUUGGAAGGCAUUUAUAAUGAUCAGUGUCAAUAUUUAUGAGGAAAUAAAGCACUCUAAAAAUUAUUCAUAGUCACUGAGGCUAUUUUUCACUUAGCAUUAAUGCACUGAGUGCAGGUUUCUUGAUACAGUCAGAUAUGCUAGCCAAGAAUAAGCUCAGGCCCCAAAGUACAGCUAAGGAUGUUUAAUGUAUCUUGACAGUCAUUAAGUAGUUGGUAAAGGACUGGCAAUGAAUUCAUUAUUCUUCUUAUGAAUCAAUCCCUAUUUAUAGCAAACUAUCAAAAUUUUCAUGUUAUAAUAUGGAGAUUGAAAUGGUUAUAUUUAGUGGUCCUUUCACCAGAGGCAGCCAUGAAAGAACCGGUGAGACUAGAACAAAUUACAGUUAAUGACAGACUCUUUCUCAGAGAAUUAAAUACUUUAAUUGGUCAAUCAGGUUGGGCAUUCGAGAAAGAAAGAGUUGUAAUUAUGUGAAAACCUGCCUACUGUACUUUGGCAGCUUUAUGGGCCUCUGGCAAUUUUUCAUCAGGAUUUAGAUUUGUCAUCAUGUUCUUACGCUUACAGAUACCCCUAGCCAAGAAUAAGAGCUACUUCUUGACCUCCUAGGUUUGGGGGUUCCUUGGAACAAAAUAAGAUCAAGAUUUUGGUACUGAUAUGCUGUUGCCUUUGAGUGCAAUUCCAUCAUGACAUCUAUAUAUCAGCUACACUGUCUUUUGAAGGCUUAUGUGAGACUUUCCACCCUCUUGGCAAGUGUAUGAGGCAGCAGUCUCACUUCUUUGCAUAUCACCCAUGUAGUAACACUCAGUAAUAUUGUUUGAAGACAUAGAGUUUGUUCCAUUGUUCCAUAUACUUUUUUUUUUUUUUGCUUCUUGCAUCUAAUUCACAAUUCGGUUGUUUUCUAGUUAAACACCAGAACAACUCCAUAAAUUGUCUACCUUGCAUAUUUAGUUUGUUAUUCAUUCAGGGAAGAGUUUAUCUCUUAAUGUGUGUUUUGCCAGGCUGCUUACUACACUGCUCUGGUUCCUGGUAGAAGCUUUGCGAUGCUAAUGUAAUGUUGUGGCUGCUUUUAACAUUCUGUGUUACAGCAUCUGUAACAAAGCUCUAUUAUGUUGGUUUUUGGGUGUCCCACAUGAAUCAGUGAGUUGAAACAGCCAUUUUACAUCAGAAAAAGUUCUGCCUUCUCUCUUCUAUAGUCUCAUAUUAGAAGUGAUGUAAGAUUUUGUUCAGCGUGAAACUGGACUCUACCUCACAGCAGAGAGAUGUUCUUGCUUGAUGAUUGUGAGGAACAUGAUAUGCCUUAGCUAUGCCUAUUGACUGCAUGAAGUUAUUGCUCUACAUUAGCGCAAGUUCAUAGUGAAAGCUUUGUGCUGUGCUUAUUCAAUGAGCUUAAUAAACGAGGUUAUAAAAUGAGGUUUUGGAGUGCGAGUGAGAGCAAGCCUUUCCCUGUAUGAAAAGAAAGAGUGAGAAUAGCUUGCUCCAGGAACACUAUGAAAGUGCCUGUGAGCUGGGCUGAGCAGUCUAUCGUGCUGAAUUGGGAUGUUAGACUGGUCUGCAGUCUUACAUCAAGACAGGUAUGACUGUUUUGGGACAAGCAUAUGAAGGCUGCAGCCGUGUUCUGCAAGAGAAGGAAACACUUUACAAUUUGGAUAGUUUAGAAGCCAGGAGAGAAAGGGGAGCUAGAUCUUACAUUGCACCAAUCAGAGACUUGCUGUUGCAGGGCCAGGUCUGACACACUGUGAAAGCCGUGGCUGAUACCUCUGCAGCUGAGCUUCACAACACUACUCCCUAGGAUGGAUGAAUGCUCACACAUCCUAGCUUUCUCCAGGUAGAUGAAUCCUCCAUCUAGUGCUCACCAGUGAGAAGAUCAGACAGUUGCCAUUGCUGACAAAAAGCAGCUACCUGCACCUUGGGAUCUUCUGGAGAAGAGCAGCAGCAGCAAGACGAGAAAAGCGAUUAGCGGCAACAGCAAAACCCCAGAGGAAUCAAGUACCAAAACUGGUUUUAUUUUCUGCUGCUUUGAUGGAGGAAAAGUCACUUUUCCUAAGGAAAGCCAUUUUGUUUCUUUACCCCAAAGAAAAAGUCACUUUUCUUAGGUAAGCAGAGCAAUAGUAUGGAUCUGAUGUUUUAUAGGUAAAAAAAAUAGAGGUAUUUCGCUGUCAUAGCCUCUGUACAUCACCACCUUCAGCUGACAGACAUGAAAUAAAAGCUUCCACCCCUGAAAGCAAAGGCAGAAACCUAGUGAGGAUGCAUGGUUCUCAAAUCCUACCUUCUUCUUCCUCUGUCACAGCUGUGCUGAGCCUUUAGGACCACACUCUUCCCAAGAUGCAUGGUCAACACACACCAAAGAGGGAGCAGAAAGUGCGUGGAGCUACACUAGCAGCCAAGUGGAGAGGCACUUCUCUGGGUCACGAGACAGGGCUCAGGAAUGGCCUGGUACAGGAUAUAUUUCUGAGGCACCAUGGAAACAAACAGAUGAGACACACCCCCAGCAGCAGUGGCCUGUCAGAGGAAAUUUCUCCCUUGCUGUAGCCAGCCCUGGCUUUGACUAGGCCUGGACAGGGGGACCAGGGCCAGGGUGGGCCCUUCCCAGAGUAGGCUUUUCCUGUCCUUCCCUGCCCUAUUCCAGGCCUGUGGCCUCUGAGGUGAGCGGCAGCCCAGGGCACAGUGGGCUCGGCUGGGCCCAUCUGUGGGACAGGGAUACCAGGCCAGGGUUCUGCCUGUGGGACAGGAGUGAGUUCUGACCCAUGGGCAUCGGGCCAGGCAGGGGCCGGUCUGCAGUGUGGCUAACAAGAUGGCUCCCAUCAAACCCGAGGUGAGAGCACUGGGUAGAAUGCAGCUCUCAGAGGAGGGGGCCUUUUUUUGCAUUGUCCCUACAUGUACCUCUGAGUCUGAGGAACAAAAACCAGCCCAUUAUUAGAUAAAGCUGGUUUUGUGUCUAUACAGACCAGAGGAGCUCUGAAGCAGCAGAACACUUGCAGCUCCUCUCUGUUCAAGAGGAGGGAAAUUCAUGGAGGCCGAGGGCCGGAGGGGGAUCCCAUGCAGCUGCUUCUUGCCAGGAAAGAGCUUACACAGCUGAAAACACACAUCACAGUGCCUCGGAGAAGUUUCAGAAGCUGCAAAUGAGAUUACACGCUGACCAAGUCAUGCUGGAACAAGUACAACAGGAGAACCAGUGCCUGAAUCAGCAAGUUGCCCAUCUGACGGCUGCAUUUAUGGCACUGCAGAAAAUGAGAAUCUUCUGUUCUCCCACGGAUUUCUUCUAUACUGAACAGUACUUGGCGGAGGAGCUGGCCAGUACUUGGUGCAGAAGGUCAUUGCUUUGGUCACUGUAUGCUGAUGGACUCCUCACCUCUGUGAGAUGACCUUAGCCCCUGUCACAGAACCCAGACGUGCACCAGCAGCCUGACGCAGGAGGGAGGGCUUCUCACCUGUGCUGGAGCUGCCUCCAUGCUACACACAGUGCACUAUGUGAUCUGUCCUUCUUUUCCAGCUUCAGUCUAGUUAAAAUACAUCAGACUGGCCACACAACCUCUUUCUUUUUCCUGCUGAGCCCUGUGACAGUGGGUCUGUGGUCUGGACUCAGCUCUACUGAGCACUAUUUGUGCUGCUGCGGACCAAAUCUUCUGCCAGGCUGUGCGAUGCCUAUGAAGGACAGACGCAGAAGAAAUUUCAUGCAGAAGGACAUUAAAACCUCUCGUUCAAAAAUCUCAAACAGACAUUUAAAAAUUAUUCCAUAUUAAACACUGCAGUAUUAGCAGAAACAUCCCUUCCAACUGAGGGUUUGUGGUAGGAGAAUGGCAACUCUCCUGUUGUCACCUUCUCUUCAGAGAAGAUCAUAUAGGAAAUCCUGUUCUUGCUGAUUGUGUUUGCAAAUCUCUCUUCCCCGGGACAUCGCAACAAGGUGAGGAAGAAGGCACUGAGACAUCCAUCUCAGCCUUGAUCCUGCCUGGGUGGGGUUAAUGAGUUCUGGGUUAUACCCACAGGGAGCAGCAUCUUGGUGAGCAUUUGUUAACAUUGAAACAUGAGUGCUGGCGAACAACUGCAAAAAGGACUCCUCAGAGUGUGUGGAGAAAAGCUUGAGGGAUGCUGACUCAGGUAAACUCUGAGGCAAAAUAAAUGAGACUUGUGGGAAGCUUGAUUAAACUGUUGAUAAGUUUUUGUGCUAGUGGGAGGGAUUUUUCUAUAUUGAGAAGAGUGAACUCAAAAAGAUGAGGGCAGGAUUUUCCCGGGCACUCUCAAAGGUUAAACUUGAGUCUUCUGACUGCAUCUUAGUAUGAUUCCGUGGAUAGUCUAACAUCAUGGUUCAGAUUCCUUUAUAAUGUUAUGAUCUCUAAAAUAAUUAGUCAUCUUUAUUAUUUUCCAAUUUAGAAUGUGGUGUUUUAAUAUGUGUAUAGCCGAAUCAGUGUAAAUAUCUAGAACAGAGUUACCCAACAAACCAGUAAUUAGUUGAGUCAAAGAGAAGUACCUUUUAAGCCAACAGAAUAGAAGUUAGUUUUGAGAUAUGAUGAAUACUCUAUUGCAGGUGAAGGACUGCACUAGGUUAGGGCACAGCAGCGUGUGGUAAAAUAACUUGUGUUGGCAAAGAUGUGGGUGCAUUCUUCUGUCAGCAAAUGUGAUCCCAGACCACUUACGUCCAUUUUCUGCUGAAAACACCAUAUAGACAUCACAGAAGAUCACUUACUGCAUACACCUCGAUUUAUGGCAAGAAAGCCCUUUAAUUUUCCAGAAUGGAUUUCCUCGCUUCCUCAGAGCAGUGCCUCUGGAAAAACUGAUACGGUACAAACUUCAUACAAUCCUGAUGAAAGCAUAAGGAUUUCUAAAGCAGCAUGUAGUCUGCGUGGAUUAAAGUACUGAAAUAAUUGUUUUAGUGUGUUGCUGUUAGGAAAAGAUUUUCACGGGAACUCAGUCCCCUCAUUUGGGAAAGGAACGUGAGAUCUCAGUGAGGCUCCUCGUAGGGUUUUGUCUUGCUGUAAGUACAGGAAACACAUGUACAAUCUUCUUCAGGAUAUUCAUUUGAAUGAAAUUGGGUUUAACCCUUUCCUCCCUCUUCCUUUUUUUUUUAAGGCUUACAUCAUGUUGGCUUUGGUGCCUUGUUUCUCUUGUGGCUGAGGUAGUUUGCUUUUGCCAAAUGUUAAUCUAGUAUAGGUGCUGUUUUUGAAAAUGUUGUGGUGCAAAGAUGCAUUUGAAGCAUCUAUAAGGCAUAUUUGCACUUCAAUUUGUGUUUUGGGGUUUGAAGCUGUAGUCCUUAAGACUAUCAUAAAACUGUCUUUUGAGGUAGUGACGCUUGGUAGAUUUUCACUGCACUUCUAUUGUUAUCUAAUAGACCUUGUGUGUGUGCAGAUGACUGCUUUUCCUCAUUCCUUAGCAAGGACUAAAUCUGGGGAAAGGGGGGGAAGCAGUCACAAGUGUUUUGUGCACUGACAAGCUUCAUGUAUGUAAGGAGCUGAUGUUUGACAUGAACCUUUGGAAAUUAUCUAUGCAUGCUUUCCUUCUACUUUUCUUCUGUGGCAUGUUUCUGGAUAUGUAUUUGUCUUCUUGUAAAGCAUGUCAGCAGAGUAGCUGAUAGGGUCACUCCCCAGAUGUUACCUUUCAGGUGAGUAGAUGUGGCAGUGUUCACAGCAGUAGAUGACAAAAGCAAAACACCUUUUGAGAAGUUCCUCUGUAAUGGUGCCCAAAGCUUUCUCAAGGGAAAGAAAUGAAUGUCUGAAUAAACCCCUUCCUGCUUUAAGGACAGUCCUGGAGACCUCAGUCAGACAAGCUCCUUCAAGCUGGCUAAGUCAGUGGUUUGGCUAAAUUGGUUUGUGAGCAGUGGGACAUGGUGAAAUGCAUAGAUCAGCCAGCAAGUGAGAGAGGACUGCAGUUACUACUAACAUUCCUUUGUGAUGAUAGUCUAGAUGCAAUUAAGUUAGUAAGAGGUGAUUUGCAAAUUUUUUGUUCAGUUUAGUGCAUUGUAACAUAGCUGUCACCACUUUGCACUCUUUGGCUUGGCAAGGUGAGCUUCUAGUCCGUCUUGUCUGACUUUUGUAAAUGAUAAACUGUCUCCCAAAAUUAAUACCAAUAUGUCAUAUCAUCUUCUUAAUUAAUGUGAAGAUUAAUCUUAAGUUUUACCUGUCUCACCAAGCACUUGCAAGCAUACUACUGCUUUCUUACAUCCCAAGGCUGAGGUAUUACAUAUUCAUAAUGACAAAGCAGAAACAAAUCUCAGAUGUGGAUGCUCCCCUGUAUCCUGUUUCUGCCACACUACUUAGAACAUCAUUUAAGAUUGGUCUUUAAGAACUAGACAUGCAGCACCGAGGAAACCUGCAAUAUAAAACCAAGUAGCUGGCAGAACAAGUGAAAUGUAGAGCACAUCUCCUACGUGCCAUGCGAUGACAAACACAAUCAUCUUUAGAUCCGAACAAGAGGAUGUAUGUCUGUCACAGAUGCAAUGACUUCAUUUUGUUGUGGAUUUUUUUCCCAGCAGCAAAGGAUUUUAAAAUAUUCCAGGAAUUUACCUUAUUUUCUGAGGUGUGGUACAAAUAUCAUGAGAAAUAACUCCUGCUUAGUAAAUAUUUUUUAUAGAAUUGUGGUCAUAAAAUUGAAUUCUUCAGCUGCAGUCACAGUGAGUUGUCGAACUAAGACAUAACGUGCAGUGAAAUACUGUGGAGUGCUACAUUGUGCAGGGUAGACCUCACGUUACUGUUUGGAUCUCACUGAAAGAAAAUACCUCCAUCUUAUCCACACUUCCAUCUGGUGAGGGGACUAAUUUUACCCUGUGGAAAAUCAACAGCACGCUCUCUCUGUUUUUUGUAUGCCCUACUGGCAGACAAAUACUUGGAAGGAAAAUCAGAGCUGCUCUGAAUGAAGAAACUCUUGCAGGGUAAAAUUAGAGUACAAGUCACAGGAACACUUCUUUUUUGUGUGUCUCAACGCAGGCUGCACAUGUAGCCUUGACAUCCUUCAUUUGCUAUAGCACUGAGCUGAGGUGAUUUGGUGCAGGUCAGGACUGAUAGUCCCCUCUGUUACUGUCUUAUUCUCUACUGACAGGCAAGAUGGGAGAGCAGUUCAGGGUAGUUGGUUACACCCUACAUGGUGGUCAGGAUGUACAGUAAAAUUCUGUGCUAGCCACACACAAGGAGAAUUAACACUUCUGUCUUUGGAGGUUAAUGUUAAAAAUGGGCAAGACAAAUCACUUUGAUACAAGUGAGCCAAGAGGGAGGAGCCAGGAGGUUUCAUUUGUCUUUUUAAGCAAUCAUAGGAAUAAAGCAAGAAGCCAAUAGCUGCUUCCAUGCUCUGCUGCCCUCUUGCAACAUAACACCACAUGCACUUCCUUUCUUGCACUCUCCAAGCAGUGGCUCAGUGACUUUCUCAGUGCUGGAGAGCUCAGUUCUCAGAUGAAUGUCUACUCCGUGGGUGUUCUUGUCUGGCUCUGGCAUCCAGAAUGUGUGACAGCUAUUGUUGCAGCUGGGACUUUUUUUUUGAGUGGAGCCAAUGUCACUGACGUAUACUUCUGCAUGCAGACCAGAUUUGGAUUUUAAAACCUCUUCAGAAGCAUCUCAGCCACAAAUGUUGCAUUGACUGUGCUUGCUUAUCUGAGAUGAGGUCUACACUG